UAGGGAAUCUUCGGCAAUGGACGAAAGUCUGACCGAGCAACGCCGCGUGUGUGAAGAAGGUUUUCGGAUCGUAAAACUCUGUUGUUAGAGAAGAACAAGGACGUUAGUAACUGAACGUCCCCUGACGGUAUCUAACCAGAAAGCCACGGCUAACUACGUGCCAGCAGCCGCGGUAAUACGUAGGUGGCAAGCGUUGUCCGGAUUUAUUGGGCGUAAAGAGAGCGCAGGCGGUUUCUUAAGUGUGAUGUGAAAGCCCCCGGCUCAACCGGGGAGGGUCAUUGGAAACUGGGAGACUGGAGGGCAGAAGAGGAGAGUGGAAUUCCAUGUGUAGCGAUGACAUGCGUAGAUAUAUGGAAGAACACCAGUAGCGAAGGCGGCUUACUGGUCUGAAACUGACGCUGAGGAUCGAAAGCGUGUGGAGCAAACAAG
RNAcentral lists this ribosomal RNA (429 nucleotides) under Gemmatimonadota bacterium. Its description in RNAcentral is "Gemmatimonadetes bacterium partial 16S ribosomal RNA". It matches the Rfam family "Bacterial small subunit ribosomal RNA", at positions 355 to 776 of the family's 1533-position model. Lineage: Bacteria; Pseudomonadati; Gemmatimonadota. The record is from RNAcentral.